CUGGGGACCUUUCUGCCACAUGGAGAGAGAGGAGCCCACCAGGACCAAGGUCUUUAUUGGGAAAAUAGAACCGUCCCCAUGGGUGGAGAGCAUGGACCCCUGGUCUAUCCAGAGGUUCAUCCCACCCAGGUCGGUUUUUGAUAGGUAAAAGAGAAGUUCUAAACAUCACUGAAUAUGGCCUCAAAACCAGCAGAAAAAGAAUAAAUCAAUCUAGAAUUCCCAA
Molecule: long non-coding RNA, 223 nt
Organism: Suncus etruscus (white-toothed pygmy shrew)
Lineage: Eukaryota; Metazoa; Chordata; Mammalia; Eulipotyphla; Soricidae
Exons: 2
Source: RefSeq, a predicted model, not a curated record